UCUUAUUAUUUUUCUGAAAUGGGUUAUUGGGUCCGUUCAUCAUUUUUACAUCAUAAUUUGUAUGUGCCUGAGAUGUAAACAUUGCAGAUGUUAAUGACAUGACUCCAGUGAUGUGAUGGCGUCCAUCAAUAGCAUUAACUGACUAGUACACUGGGCAGUCCAAGCCAAGUAUCUUAUUAUUCUGAAUAGUUGGUCUUAAUUUCAGUCUAUAGAAUUUCAGUUGCAGCACAAACAGAAUACAUUAUUUUGAGUUGAAAUGGGUAUGUUUUCCUCAGCCAUCUCAUUGUCAGUGGCUUUACUGUGUUUAAGCGAUUGUGGUGUUUUUGCAUUUUACCCAAACUUUAAUUAUAUAAUGAAAGGAAAGGUUGUGAAUGUAUUCUAUUUGAACAGAAACGAUAAUCCUCGGAUUCUCCCACAAACAAAGUGUUUUAUAGCAAUGCUAUGGGAUGUUCAGGAGACGUGGAAUCAAGAUCCAAGAGUAUAUAAUUAUUUAUAUCAUGAAAGUUUCACUCUAGAUCCUUGUAAAUUUGCAGAAAACGCAAUGCUCACCAAUAAAAACAUCAACAUGUAUGUGCAAAAGAGUAAAUAUUUUAAUGAUAAGAACCAGAAUAAUUAUGUAGUUGGUGUAGAGGGGAACGCACAAUAUGGUAGGUUUCCAGGAAAUUAGUAAUGGAUCGAGUUACCAAAAGAAAGAAACUUGGUUGGAAUGGUGAAACAUCUUUUAGAGCUGUGAGCUGUGUUAGCCUUGAACAGUUUUGAUCGAAUAGUAACAUAAUGUUGGACUUGCAUGCAUAUCAAGUACUUUCUCCACUUUCAUCACUCUGAUAUUCUGAACUGCUAUACAAUCAAUCAGAAGACAUGAGUUUUGUUCAUACAGUGUAAAGAUGUUUCACCAUUAGCUUUACUGGGCUUUUUUGUCGAGGGAGGAGGGGGGGAGUGGAUAUGGUGGCCAGGCUAUGAGUACAAAAGUUUGAACCAGUUGGUAAAUAAUUGUGUGACAAUCUAUGCUUAAGCUUGUUUCGUAUGUUUACAAUUUUAGUAUGUAAGGGCAAGAAACAAAUAAUUAUGUAUUGUUGAAGAA
Molecule: long non-coding RNA, 1081 nt
Organism: Planococcus citri (citrus mealybug)
Lineage: Eukaryota; Metazoa; Arthropoda; Insecta; Hemiptera; Pseudococcidae
Exons: 2
Source: RefSeq, a predicted model, not a curated record